Molecule: small RNA, 3702 nt
Filed under: Vigna angularis var. angularis
Lineage: Eukaryota; Viridiplantae; Streptophyta; Magnoliopsida; Fabales; Fabaceae
Description: Non-protein coding transcript
Source: RNAcentral
UCUUUUAUUGAUAUAUUUUCUAGUGUAAUGAAGACAUAAACACAGAGUAUUGAAACAUUUGUACAUUGAGAUCUAAUUGGUGGAAACUGGCAUGGUUUGCUUCAAACCAAACCAUAUUCCACAACACUCGAGAUCUAUGUAGAAGGAAAGGAGAAAGAAAAUUCAGUAUCCAAACAAAUCCUCAGUCAGUAUUUUAUAAUUCAGAAGGAACUACACAUUCAUACUUUUGUAAAUCAGCACGCCUCAAGCUCACUGCAGCUUAACGUGUAGUGUCUCAGGCAUUGGAGCCAUUGUAGAGUCAUAAACAAGGUGACACCAGCUCCACUCCAACUCAAGACAGAAGGGGGAAAAGUGGGUGGGCUAGUUGGGGAGGCAAAAGAACAUGUUAUGAUCCAAACAACGACAAUUUAGUACACUGCCUUAUGUUAAAAGUAAAACAAGGUACAAAGUGGAAGCAAGAAACAAAGCAAGUUUAAAUGUAAAAGCAUGUAAAAUUUUAUUCAGUAGGAGAGAGAAAGCAUGUAAAAUUAACAAGGUUAACAGAAAUCUCAUGAAAUGCUAAUUUAUUUCAUGGUUUAAAUUACUUUUUCCUCGUUCAUCCAUACUUCUGGUUAUGGGUAUAUCAAACAAUAAUGGUCACUCUGAAUUAACUAUUUAUGUGAAAAAAAAAAACAGGAGUGCAGUUGGCAUCAAGAGAGUAUGCUUGGAAAGGUUAACGCUUUCAGUUUUUGGUAAAAAGAAAUUGUGAGGUGCUUUCCGAUAAUGCUUUGUGAAGAAAUUACUACUGUUAUAGGAAAAAAAUGUUCUUUUAAUUAGGCAAUAAAAUAACACUCCUUAACCUUUGGGGAAAAAACACGAGCAGCAGAGUUCAUACCUAAAAUAACAACAAUGCUCUUGACUGUAGAGUGUCAAUCUCCUAAAAAUGACUGUUGCCUCGCAAAGCUGACGAAUCAUCAAAAUUUGAGGAAAGGAUAUCUCAGAACAUGGCGUAUUCAACCAUCUUCUACUACAAACAUGAUUGAACUCCCACCCCAUCAAUCCUAAAACCCCUAUCAGCAUUAACUGCUUUUCCACAAAACCAUCAACAUCUCUGAGAACUUGAGCUAAAUUUUCUCAUGAGUUCUAUGUUUUCUGCAAUUGUGGACCCAGGUGUUCCAACAAAACCUAGAGAUGCGCAGCUGCAUACAGUCUGCUCAACAUAAAGAAGUAAAUCUGGCAAUCUCUGACUGGAACAAUAUUUUUUACCAAUUGUACUAUAUGAAUUUGAUAGGAACCUCUGCCCAUGACCAGCUGUCAUGAGUUUUAUAGCUGCUCGCUUAAUCAGCUUAUCAUUCGCUUUCAAAAAGUAUAGCUUAUACUUGUGAUUCUCACUAACUAAAUCACCUAAAUAAGUAUUAGUCCAAUUAUCUCCAGGAAGAUCAGUCAUUAUAAAAAUAUGAAUUGGUAGAGGGCCUUCCUUCCUUAAAGAUUCUAGUUUUUGCCUUAAUCCUUGAAAUGUAGCCUUUUGAUGAUUCUUAAACUGCCCAUCCAACAAUCUAAGUUGUGCGCAAAGAAAUGGAGCCCUUAUGCUUUGUUUAGAAAACUCCUUUCCAGCUAUCAAAAUUUCUGGGACAAAGGAAAGAAGUUUAGUCUUCUCCUUCAGAGAUAGAAAUCUCUGAUUCUGAUUAGACUCACGGAUAUCCACAUAUAGUUCAGAACCUUUGUAUGUGGCAGAGAAAAGGGUUCCAAAUGCCAGCAGUGAGGCUGAUUCAGCUUCAGAAUCAGGUCCUAGAGUCUUAAAUACAUCCCUCCGUCUUCUAACAUAUGAUAUUUUCUUUUUCUGCUUCAGUUUUUCAUCGGGUUGAAAUGAAUCUAACAUACCGUCUCCAAGCCCAUCUUCAUUGUAAGUCCAUACUGUAGUUCUGCAAUCCUCAUUGACAGCAUAUAUACACUUUUCAAUACUACCAUGGAGCCCAGCUAGCAGAGAUCCACAUUGGUUAAGGCUUUUAGAAACAGAGGAAUGCAACUUUGUAUCUGUUACGCAAGCCAAAUCUAAGCUGAUGCCACACCAUAUGGACACAAAAUCCCUAAGAUCAAUCACUCGAACAAGAGAGGAAGAAACUAAUGAUGUGAUGUCAACAAUUUCAGCAAUGGAUAUAUACCUGCAAGAACAAUGACUGAUUAAUUUACACAGAAAGUGAAAUUCGAUCUCAGAUAUAAAAUUUCAACAAUACAGAAAACUAUGCAAGAAAGGCAUUCAUGCCCUUAAAUUUUUCUUCCGUUGUUACAGUCAAUGUUAUUAUUAUGAUAUAAUAGGAAACUUUGUUAGCAAUCACAUAUGAAACCAGCCAACAACUGCUAGAAACAUUUUUGCAACGUGAAAAUCAUGGAAUUGUAAAGAACGAAGUGGUCAGUAUCUGAUUGUCAUGGAAAUAGUUGACCAGUCUUUUUCCUCCUCCAAAGCUGAGAUUUUUACUCAUUUUUUUUGGAACAGUAACCAAAAUUUUUUGAAGAAUUUUUUCAUCUAGAAAGGGCUUCCCAACAAGUUGCUCUUUAUUUGCUAUACUCAUCAACCAAUCGGCAUAGCUUUUAAUUGUUUUUGUCUCCUUGAUGCUUUGCAUCUUGAAUUCUCUAGCAAAGUUGGACGGUUGCAUGUCUUUGGUUCUUUCACAGCCAAAAUAUUCUUUCUUGAGAUAAUCCCAAAUCUCUUUGACAGAUUUGAAAUUCCUAAUUCUUGUAAAAAUAAUUUUUUACAACGACGAAAGCCCUGAUAUACUUGUUUAUAGGAACCUUUUUUUAGAAUCAACAGUGUAGCAACAAGGAUUGUUUACAACUGCAAUUUGAUCCACUACACUAAACUGAUCUGCUACAGCAGUGCUUGUACAAGGCCAGGUGUACUCUGCAUUGUUACAUUACUAUAACAGCUCUAUUUAAAACCCAGAAAAUCACAAAUCAAUAGUUGCAGUGUGUGAAAAAAACUUACUAACCUUCGACUUUGGACAAGCUCAAUCACAUGAUCCCAAACAGAUAUCCGAAUAUCCUUUGGAUCUACAACCCGAAACUUUGGACAGCUACCUAAAGCAAUAGCAUGGUGAUCCAUAACAGGAGGAACCACCAAAGUUCGAUUCAGUAUACCAGCCAUUAGAAUAGCAUUCUUGAACUCUGAAAGUUGGUUGCCGAACCCACUGUGAGGUGCAUACCACGUGAAUUUCUCCCCUAAGGUAAGGGCUUGGCUGGAGCAUUGAGGGGUAUGAGAUGUUGAAAUAUUGGACAAUCUAGAGAUCUGAGAACUAGGUUUCGCAUAGUAAUAGAACAACAACAAGAAGGAGAGGCAUAUGACAAGGACAGACACAGGAAUGAACGGGAAUCUGUAAAGGGGCUUUCUUUUAGACAACAUUUUAGUUGGUGUGUUAGGAUUCAAAGUGUUUAUGGCUGUACACUUGUAACACAGAUUGAUAAAACCCGCACAUUCAAGUAAGUUUGCAGAGAACAAUUGAGCUCAUCAACAAUAACCUGAAACUUUCUCAUUCCUGAAACAAAUUUGGAAUAAAAGUGAGAAAAAAAAGAGUCUGCAAGCAACAAUACCUAUCACAAGAUCAAUUUUAAAAAAAAAAAAACAAUGUCACCUCUAAUGACUAAACGACUCAGAAUUUACAAUCUGAAACUUUCCUAUUCAUGAACUAAAUUCCAAAUAAAAAUAGCAAAAGAGUGUCCACAAGCAAC